AGCGAACGCUGGCGGCAAGCUUAACACAUGCAAGUCGAACGAUGUAGCAAUACAUAGUGGCGGACGGGUGCAUAACACGUGGGUAUCUGCCUUUAGGUACGGAAUAACUCAGGGAAACUUGAGCUAAUACCGUAUAAUAUCUCUGGAUCAAAGAUUUAUCGCCUAAAGAUGAGCCCGCGGCAGAUUAGCUAGUUGGUGGGGUAAUGGCCUACCAAGGCGACGAUCUGUAGCUGGUCUUAGAGGAUGAUCAGCCACACUGGGACUGAGACACGGCCCAGACUCCUACGGGAGGCAGCAGUGGGGAAUAUUGGACAAUGGGGGCAAUCCUGAUCCAGCUAUGCCGCGUGAGUGAUGAAGGCCUUAGGGUUGUAAAGCUCUUUUAGAUGGGAAGAUAAUGACGGUACCAUCAGAAAAAGCCCCGGCUAACUUCGUGCCAGCAGCCGCGGUAA
RNAcentral lists this ribosomal RNA (449 nucleotides) under uncultured bacterium. RNAcentral's name for it is "partial 16S ribosomal RNA". It matches the Rfam family "Bacterial small subunit ribosomal RNA", at positions 29 to 523 of the family's 1533-position model. The record is from RNAcentral.